CCAGACUCCUACGGGAGGCAGCGGUGGGGAAUAUUGCACAAUGGGGGGAACCCUGAUGCAGCGACGCCGCGUGGGUGAAGGAGUACUUCGGUACGUAAAGCCCUAUCAGCAGGAAAGAAAAUGACGGUACCUGACUAAGAAGCCCCGGCUAACUACGUGCCAGCAGCCGCGGUAAUACGUAGGGGGCAAGCGUUAUCCGGAUUUACUGGGUGUAAAGGGAGCGUAGACGGCAUGGCAAGUCAGAUGUGAAAGCCCGGGGCUCAACCCCGGGACUGCAUUUGAAACUGUCAGGCUGGAGUGCAGGAGAGGUAAGUGGAAUUCCUAGUGUAGCGGUGAAAUGCGUAGAUAUUAGGAGGAACACCAGCGGCGAAGGCGGCCUGCUGGACCGUGACUGACGUUGAGGCUCGAGAGCGUGGGGAGCAAACAGGAUUAGAUACCCGAGUAA
Molecule: ribosomal RNA, 445 nt
Filed under: uncultured bacterium
Lineage: Bacteria
Description: bacterial SSU rRNA
Rfam family: Bacterial small subunit ribosomal RNA
Source: RNAcentral